This 58-nucleotide transfer RNA is filed under the name Dipodomys ordii (Ord's kangaroo rat). It matches the Rfam family "tRNA", at positions 8 to 63 of the family's 71-position model. From Rfam's summary of the family: Transfer RNA (tRNA) molecules are approximately 80 nucleotides in length. Lineage: Eukaryota; Metazoa; Chordata; Mammalia; Rodentia; Heteromyidae. The record is from Rfam by way of RNAcentral.
UGGCUCAGUGGUAGAGCGCUUGCCUAGCAUGCAUGAGGCCCUGGGUUCAAUUCCUCAG